GUGCCAGCAGCCGCGGUAAGACGGAGGGUGCUAGCGUUGUUCGGAAUCACUGGGCGUAAAGGGCGCGCAGGCGGCCAGGUCAGUCGGGCGUGAAAGCCCGGGGCUCAACCCCGGAACGGCGCCCGAGACGGCCUGGCUCGAGACCGGGAGAGGAGGGUGGAAUAGCCAGUGUAGAGGUGAAAUUCGUAGAUAUUGGCUGGAACACCGGUGGCGAAAGCGGCUCUCUGGCCCGGUUCUGACGCUGAGGCGCGAAAGCGUGGGGAGCAAACAGGAUUAGAAACCCUGGUAGUCC
RNAcentral lists this ribosomal RNA (292 nucleotides) under uncultured bacterium. Its description in RNAcentral is "partial 16S ribosomal RNA". It matches the Rfam family "Bacterial small subunit ribosomal RNA", at positions 505 to 796 of the family's 1533-position model. The record is from RNAcentral.